This 253-nucleotide ribosomal RNA is filed under the name uncultured bacterium. Its description in RNAcentral is "partial 16S ribosomal RNA". It matches the Rfam family "Bacterial small subunit ribosomal RNA", at positions 524 to 776 of the family's 1533-position model. The record is from RNAcentral.
UACAGGUGGUGCAAACGUUGUCCGGAUUUACUGGGCGUAAAGAGCGCGCAGGCGGUCAGAUAAGUCGAAUGUGAAAGCCCCCGGCUCAACUGGGGAGGGUCAUUCGAUACUGUUCGACUCGAAGGCAGGAGAGGGAAGUGGAAUUCCCGGUGUAGUGGUGAAAUGCGUAGAUAUCGGGAGGAACACCAGUGGCGAAGGCGACUUCCUGGCCUGUUCUUGACGCUGAGGCGCGAAAGCUAGGGGAGCAAACGGG